RNA transcript from Musa acuminata AAA Group (dessert banana), 2443 nucleotides. It is a transcript of the gene named thylakoid lumenal 15 kDa protein 1, chloroplastic, with no coding region annotated. NCBI's taxonomy places the organism in Eukaryota, Viridiplantae, Streptophyta, Magnoliopsida, Zingiberales, Musaceae. The transcript has 9 exons. The record is from RefSeq and is a predicted model, not a curated record.
UCUCAAAGAUAGCGAACAACGGGAGGGAGAGAGGCGGAAGAUAGCGAACAGCCGAAGGAGAUAUAUCGCCCAUGGCCGCUCUCAUCGGUAGUCUAAAUCUCGUUCCUCCUCCUUCGCUUUCUCCCUUGCCCUCUCUCGUCCCUCACAACUCUUCCAAAUGGCGGCGAUUCCUCUCGGCCUCGGCUCCUCGCACUAGCCUCUCGCCACCGCAAUGCUCGUCCGUUGCCGAGCUGGGAGAAGGCUUAGGUCGGGUGAGCGCCGCUGCCCUCCUCGCCGCCUCCCUCUUCUUCGCCGACCCUGCUCUCGCUUUUAAGGGUGGAGGGCCGUACGGGGCGGAAGUAACGAGAGGGCAAGACCUCACCGGCAAAGACUUCAGUGGCAAGACCCUCAUCAAACAAGACUUCAAGACGUCGAUCCUGAGGCAGGCCAAUUUCAAGGGCGCAAAGUUGCUCGGUGCGAGCUUUUUUGAUGCAGAUCUGACAGGAGCUGAUCUCUCUGAUGCUGAUCUCAGGGGUGCAGACUUUUCCUUGGCCAAUGUGACUAAGGCAAAUCUAAGUAAUGCAAAUCUUGAAGGUGCUCUUGCUACUGGCAACACUUCUUUCAGAGGAUCAAAUAUCAAUGGAGCAGACUUCACGGAUGUUCCCCUGCGAGAAGACCAACGGGAGUACCUUUGCAAAGUUGCCGAUGGGGUGAACCCUGUAACCGGAAACUCCACUAGGGAUACACUGCUCUGCAACUGAUAUCAAGUGACAUCUCCAGUAAAGCUCCGAGGCAGUCGGCAUCAUUAGGUGCUGUAAUUUGCCUUGUAAUAUGCUUUUCUGUUUAGAUUAUUUAUCUGUAAAUUUUGUUCACUUGCAUCAUUUGUUCUUGUCAAAGAAUUCUGGCAUAUUAUGUAUGGUAAAAGUAUGUAUGUCCUCCUCACAAACGAACUGCUACAGUGUUCUUCCCUACUUUCACUACUGCCGUUCGUUGAAGUAUAUUCUCAGCUCAUUCUGAUACAAUGUGAAGCCUCAAAUUAUUCGAUCCUAUUGAACAGUCCUCUCCGAUGGGCGGACAUCGAUGUGGCCUACCAUUUCAGCAUGGGAGUCGUUCAUGAACACCUCUGAAUGGUUCUUGUGGUCUUCAACUUGGAUUUCUCCAGCUAAAAUAUUAGAUUACGAUGCUCGAAUCAGGUACGCCUAAAUCCAUAAUAUAUAGCUGCAAAUAUAGACAAACCACAGAAAAGCAUCAGCCCAAGGAGACUGCAAUGGAUGAAAUCAGACAGCGUAUGGGUUUUACUCGACAAAGAUGAAAUUAGAUAACGAAUGAAUGCAUUGCUUGUUAGCUAAGUUGUGUAUUUAUGCUCGAAAAGAUUUCUAAUGUAAGCUCUGUUUGUUUCAGAAACCAUGCUUGUCAUCAUCAUCUUGUUUGUGACCCGUACUUGGUACCUUCAUCAUCACUGGAUGGUGUUCUUUUCGCCUUCCUCCCAAUGAAAGUAACAUUGCACCAAAAUUUGUGGAAGAAGCAGUCUGAUGGUAACCUGUGAUGGUAGUGUCCGGUGAGUGGAGAUAAGGGAAAGGAAUCUUGUCUUAAAACUGACAAGAUUGCUGCUACCCACCUCUGACAUUUAUUAUAUUGAAAUCAUCCACAUCAAAAGCAUGGAUAUAUGGUUUUAUUGUAGUUGGUAAGAUGUCAAUGGGUUUGAAAGCUACUGCUUUGUGGAUAGCCAGCCACCUCGGUCAUCUCCUCUCCCUUCUCUGACCGAGCUUGCCUUGGUUAGCUUCUUCUCAGCAGCUGGCUUCCACUAAUCAAUCACCGCUCUUUAUAACCCAAUGUCUCCCCAUCUCUCUUCUCUCAAGACAAAACCUCAAAGUCUCCUCCAACUCUCCCGGCCACCACCACCACCACCACCACCCUGUCUCAGCUUUUGUGCUCUCACCAUGGAAGGUCUCAUUCCGUUCGUCUACAAGGCCAUAGUCCGAUACAAGAACGGUGGACAGGUUUCCAACAUAGGGAGCUUGUUGUUCCACGACUCCCCCUCGGCUUCCUACGUGCGGCUACCGGCCGGUGACUCCGGCAGGUUUCUGUCGUCGGACGUCCGCUUCUUUCCUUCGUCUCCGAGACCACUGACGGCGCCCGCGGCUCCGCAGUCUCCGCGCCGGCGCGCAGCUCAGUGGCGUCCUGCAUGAGGGUGGCGGAGGUGAUGAAGGCGCGUUGCAGGUCGUCUCCGCUUGCUAUAAAUGGUAUCGAUCGAUCAGUCUCUGUGCUCUUCACAACCUGUGAAUUAAUAUGGUUCUUCCUCCUCCUCUGUUGUAAGGGGUUUGGGUCUUGAAAAAAAGGAGUCCCGCUAUUUGUUAUGAAUUAUACAGAGAAAUAAAGUGAGUUUGCAAGUGUAGAAUUAUAGAUGUAUUGGGUUCGUUCUUGGAGUAAUAAAAUAUAACACCAGCAAAUAAUAUUGUCAGUA